UGUUUUUGGAGAUACCGACAACCACAUAUAUUAACAUUUUACGUGCAGAGCACGGAAAUUGGGGAAGGUAAAAAUACUAAAUUAACGUAAUGUUGGAUACAUGUAAUCUGAAAUGAACUAAGGCCAAGCAAUUAUUUUCGAGAAAAUCAGUACCGAUUACAUGAUUGUGCUACCAGAACAAAACAAUAAUAAAAUUAAAUAGUAUCCCCAAUAUAAAAUAUACUAUAAAUCAAUAUAUCAAAUGCAAUGAAGUUAAAUAAGUGUGUAUGAUGUGUGUACUAAACC
RNAcentral lists this long non-coding RNA (285 nucleotides) under Mytilus galloprovincialis (Mediterranean mussel). Lineage: Eukaryota; Metazoa; Mollusca; Bivalvia; Mytilida; Mytilidae. The record is from RNAcentral.